GGCGAACGCUGGCGGCGUGCUUAACACAUGCAAGUCGAACGGAAAGGCCCUGCUUUUGUGGGGUGCUCGAGUGGCGAACGGGUGAGUAACACGUGAGUAACCUGCCCUUGACUUUGGGAUAACUUCAGGAAACUGGGGCUAAUACCGGAUAGGAGCUCCUGCUGCAUGGUGGGGGUUGGAAAGUUUCGGCGGUUGGGGAUGGACUCGCGGCUUAUCAGCUUGUUGGUGGGGUAGUGGCUUACCAAGGCUUUGACGGGUAGCCGGCCUGAGAGGGUGACCGGCCACAUUGGGACUGAGAUACGGCCCAGACUCCUACGGGAGGCAGCAGUGGGGAAUAUUGCACAAUGGGCGGAAGCCUGAUGCAGCAACGCCGCGUGCGGGAUGACAGCCUUCGGGUUGUAAACCGCUUUCGCCUGUGACGAAGCGUGAGUGACGGUAAUGGGUAAAGAAGCACCGGCUAACUACGUG
Molecule: ribosomal RNA, 468 nt
Filed under: uncultured bacterium
Lineage: Bacteria
Description: partial 16S ribosomal RNA
Rfam family: Bacterial small subunit ribosomal RNA
Source: RNAcentral